Molecule: ribosomal RNA, 3237 nt
Filed under: Triticum aestivum (bread wheat)
Lineage: Eukaryota; Viridiplantae; Streptophyta; Magnoliopsida; Poales; Poaceae
Description: partial small subunit ribosomal RNA
Source: RNAcentral
CCUCCCCUUCCCCUCGUGCCGCCGUCCCCUCCCCUUCCCCUCGCGCCGCCGCCCCCUUCCCCUCGCGCCGCCGCCCCUCCCCUUUCCCUCGCGCCGCCGCCGUCGGAGAAGCACCGCGGCCACUGCUGCUCCGCGUCGCCGCUCCUCACCCAUCCACCGCGACCGCCUCCUCUCCCGGAACCCUAGCCAGCCGCACGCAACCCAUGGCGUCGUCCAGCUCGCCGCCCUCGGCCAUCGCGUCGUCGCGGGGCUCAUCGCGCAAGCGCACGGCUUCCGCCAAGGCCGCAUCAGAGGCCGACCAGGAGGCCACGGUCUCCAAGUGCUCCCGCAAGAGUGCCGCGUCCGGGAAGAAGAAGUCGGCGCCCAAGGCGGCGGCGGGAAAGAAGCCACAGAAUUGGUGAGAGUCUCCAUGCUUCACCACUGCUAGCAGAAGCAAACCUCCUCUCCGCUCAUUGCUGGUGGUUCAGACUCCGAUGUAGAUCGAUCCAGUGCCACCCUCCUCGGUUAUUUUGCUUGGUGGUACGUGGAUCUGCUCGUGUAUUAGUAAAUCAUGUUGUUGACGCAGCAGGAGCGCUUGGUGCCACGUCCACUUCAUCUGAUUAUGUGAAUAUAGUGGUUGACAUGCUCGGUUCAUCCUCAUCGGCGUCUAAACCUGAGGCUCCUAACUUUCUCAAAUGUUCUCCAGUUAUUCCCCCCUCUCCUUCAGAUGUGAUUAAUUUGGCAUGGGUACGCGUACAAUCGGAAUGAGUAAGGUGGGCUUCGUGUUGCUUUCUCUUAUCUCAUGGCUGCCUCUUGUGUGCAGGUUAAUUAAUUAUUUUGGUGCUCGAUUAGUCGCCAUUGUCGGAUGAUACUUUAGGUUUGCACUUCCCAUUGAGCUCUUGGCCUGGUUGCUGGCAUUGGUUCUUCUGUUGUGCUACUUACUGCAGUUUCGUUGUUGAUUUAGUAGGAAAGCUGAUGUUUAUCUACACAAGGGACUUGCUAUAUUGCGUACUCGGAUGCAACAUUUACUGGGCCAUCAAAAAGGAGGGGGGCUGGAUCCCAAGGGGCCGAGUUGUAGUCCUCCAGAGUUGUUGGGAAGAAGAUGGGUAAGCUCCUCUUGCUCUUCCACCCCUCUGCUGCGAGGAUCUAUAAUUUUGUGCACGCUACUGAUUUUGGAGACUUUUAGAGUAUUGAGCUACAUCACUAGCGAACGAGCUUGCAAAAUUUUCCAGUAUGCUGCACCUGUGAUUAGAGGUUCAGGCCGUACCAGUUUUUGGGUCUUUAUAUUGGUGAUUUCGUUCUGUUAGGAGGUCACUACCGAAGGAGUAAAUUACUAGCGAAAGAGCAGUUGAUGUAUGAACAUCAUUGGGUUCAAGGAGUAAAUUAUUAUGGUUUGGCUGAAAUGUCAGUUCAUUACUAUUACAUGAAAUCUAGAACCUAUGCUAAUGUGUCCAAUCUAGACAAGGAGGACAGAUAUUUAUUGGGGGGCCUGAUUCUUAUGUAGUUUCUCUCUAUAUUGCAGAACUCCCUACUCUCAUUUGGUGCACCCCAGUAUGUAGUGUCAAUGAUUUCAAUGUCCCCAGGAAUCUCAAACCGUAUGUACAGUCAAUGAUUGCAAUGCCUCUAGGGAUAUCCCAAGAAAUAUUUCUUAGUUCCAAGUUCUGAAUACGCGUCAAUCCAGCAUCUAUUUUUGACCCUGUAGAUGAAUUUAUCCCUGGAUGUUUAUGCCCGGAAGGAGGAGGCAUACCAAUGAUAGUUUGAAUCAAACUAAUAGAGGACGCCACCAUCGAUUAUGGUGUCGAGCGACUAAAAUGUAAUGAACUGGUAGUGCGACUGUUGACCUCCUUGAAACUAAUCACGUUCUUCGCUCCCGAACUCACGCAGUAGACAAGCAACUCUUCUUUUAUAACUGCAGACAAGUAUGACUCCAUACCCUUAAAUUCCCUGCACUAUUCUCAGGGUCGUUGAAUACAUAAUGUGACCCCACAUAAAUGGUUAGGAACUAGCUAAAUUUUAUUUAUCUUCGAUUCCCUACCAAAAUAUUCCUACUGCAUAUGUUAGGAAGGAUCUAUAAGAGUUGCUGCUAUGUAUAUGUUGUUGAAACCUCCAAUGUAGUUAAUCUCCGGCUCUUAUCAUCUUUCUUUGUUCAAGCCCUUGAGAGAAUGCUUUUAAAUUUAUGAACUGAAUAUAAUUCAAGAUUUAGUGAAAAUGCACAGUGAUCUUUACAACUUAUCUAUUUCUUUUUUCUGUGAGACUUCUUCGAAGAUAAUAAUUUGCCCAAAAAUAAUGUUCAGUAGUCAUGUUCCCCUUUUAAUCACUGUACUUUAGUAAUCUUGAUAUCUACAAAAUCUUUGAAACCUGACACCACUCAUGUAAUUGGCCAUUAUUUUUUGUCUUAAAGUCCCAUGUCUUAUCGCUAAUUGCAGCAUUGUUUUUCACCAGUGUGUCAUAGAUUCAGUUCUGCAUGAUGUGCUUGGUAUAGGAGAAAAUCAGUCUGCCAAUAUUAUUUUCCUGCUAUUUGACAUACACAUGUUUACAUAAACUGUACCAGUUGCAUGGAUGUACCAAUUGUUAUCCAGCAAGCUUUGAAAGUUAACACAAAGAAUCUGCACCCUAGGAUAAUUGUAAGGAAUGUGUGACCAAAACCACAUCUACCUUUUCUAAUGUUAUUAUCCUAGGUGCUCCGCAGGACACGCACAGCCGCCACCACACCGCAGAGACGGACGAGGAUGUGAUGCUGCUCCUUCUUGUGGUGUAUGCGUCGGCGUGGCUUGCGGUAGUGAGGCAUAUCCUCGUGGGCAAUGCUAUUUGAAGACCAUUCAAGUGAUUUAAAAGAGAAGAUGUCCAGAAUGUAACGAGGUUGAAGAUGACGAUCAAAAGAUUGACGUAUUAAGCGACUGUCAAGAUGCCAAUAAUGCUUGCCCCCUGCCAUUAUUAGUAAUGCCCUUGCUCUUCUUUAUGAAAUCUUUCCUAUUAUAUAUUGAUGCAUCAACUAUCAUUGCAGAUCGUGAGAUCCCUAUUUACAUGGAUGACUCAGCGGCUGGCCUGUACAGAGUUGCGUGGCAGGCAUGUGUUCCCAGCCACCUUACCAAUUGUAGGCUUAGAAUGAUUUGCUUCGUCCCAAGUGUUGUUCGUCGACAAUUACUUUGUAUGUCCAUGUCGAUUCUGAAUUUAGAGGACACAUAUGUUUUGGUAGGAAGUGUAUUGUUCUUCUAUUUUUUCCUGGUGUAUACUGACUCGUGCAGAUUAUGAAUUCCC